AAUCUAUGACAAAGGAGGCAAGAAGAAUGGAGAAAAGAUAGUCUCUUCAGUAAGUGGUGCUGGGAAAACUGGAUAGCUACAUGGAAAAAAAAAUGAGAUUAGAACAUUUCCUCACACUAUAUACAAAAUAAACUCAAAACAGAGAAAAGACCUAAAUGCAAGACUGGAAACUAUAGAAUUCCUAGGAAAAAACCUAGGUAGAACACUCUUUGACAUAAAUUGUAAUAAUAUUUUUUGGGAUCUGUCUCCUAAGACAAAAGAAAUAAAAGCAAAAAUUAACAAAUGGAGCCUAAUUUUACUUAAAAACUUUUGUACAAACCUUAGACAAAAUGAAAUGGGAGAAAAUAUUUGCAAAUGAUAUGACUGGUAAGGAGUUAAUAUCAAAAAAGUUAAUUUUGGAGUUAAUAUCCAAAAAUAUACAAAUAUCUCAUACAACUUAGUAUUAAGCAAACAACUUGCUCAAAAAAUAAGCAGAAGACCUGUUAGAUAUUUUUCUGAAGAAGUUAAACAGAUGGGCAACAUGUACAUGAAAAGACACUUAACAUUGUUAAUCAUCAGAGAAAUGAAACUCAAAACCACAAUGAGAUAUUAACUCACAUCUGUCAAAAUGGCUGUUCUCAGCAAAACUACAGCUAGCAAAUACUGGUGAUGAUGUGGAGAAAAGGUAACCCUGGUAUGUGGUUGCUGGGAAUGUAAAUUGGUGUGGCCACUGUGAAAACAGUGUGGGGUUUCCUAAAAAAAAAAAACAAACUAAAAUAGAACUACUAUAUUAUCCAUCAAUUCUACUUCUAAGUAUAAUACAAAGACAAUGAAAACACUAGUUUGAAAAGAUACGUGCACUCCAGUGUUCAUAACAGCAUUAUUUCAGUUGCCAAGAUAUGGAAGCAUUAUAAGUGUCCAAUAACAGAGGAAUGGAUCAAGAAGAUGUGGUACACACACACACACACACACACACACACACGCAUACACACACACACAGAGGAAUACCACUUAGCCAUAAAAAGAAAUGAAGAUUUUACCAUUUGCAAGAACAUGGAUGGAACAGGAGUGUAUUAUGCUUAGUAAUUUAAAUCAGAUAAAGAUAAAUAUUGUAUAUUAUUUCUUAUAUAUGGAAUCUAAAAAAACAAACUAGGAAAUAUAACAGAUACAGAGGACAAACUAGUCAUUACCAGUAGGGAGAGUGAAAGGGGGAGAGAAAAGAUGGAGGAUUAAGAGGUACAGAAUACAAGGUAUAAAAUAAAUACAUUGGAUAUUGUACAGCAUAGGGAAUAUACCCAAUAUUUUAUAAUAACUAUAAAUGGAGUAGAAGCUGUAAAAAUUUGCAUCACUAAGUUGUACACCUGAAACUAAUAUUUUUUUUCUUUCAACAUCAACUUCACUGAGGUACACUGACAUUAAAAAAUGCACAAAUUUUAAAUGCAUAGUUGACUAAGUUUUGACAUGUUUGUGUGCCGGUGUAGCUAGUACCAUGGUUGACAUACAGAACAUUUCCAUCACCCCAAAAAGUUUGCUUGUGCCCAUUUGAACUUUCUCUUUCUCCAGGUAACUACUGAUUUGAUUUCUUCUUCUUUUUUUUUUUUUUUUUUUUUUGUUCUUUUAGGGCUGCACUUGCGGCAUAUGAAGUUUCCCAGGCUAGGGGGUCAAAUCAUAGCUGCUGUUGCUGGCCUAUGCCACAGUCACAGCAAUGCCAGAUCUGAGCCGGAAAUGCUGGAUCCUUAACCCACUGAACAAGGCCAGGGAUUGAACCUGGAUUCUCAGGGAUACUAGUCAGAUUCGUUUCUGCUGAGCCACUAUGGGAACUCCUGAUUUCUAUCAUCAUAGAUGUGUCUUUUCUGGAACUAUCCUGCAAAUGAACCUUACGAAUAAAUGAUGUCUGGCUUGUUUUGCUCAAUUCUCAUUUGAGAGUCAUCAUUUUUGUUAUAUAUAACACUAGUAUCAGUAGCAGAACCUUUUUUAAAAAAAGUGUUUCAUUCUGUCAAAAUGAUCUUAUACACACGUGAUAAAUCAAUAUUAUGUAUACUUUGAAACAUGUUUUUAUUUAUUUUUUUAACAUAGACCAACUCCUAGGUUGAGAAUACUGCUAAAUGCUGACCUAUUUGAGUAGUUACGAGUAUUUUGUAAUUGUGGGGGCUGUGUGGGGAAGCGGUGAGAUCGUGGCCAUAAUGAUAGCCCUGUCACUCACCCUAUCACUCAUUUGAAAUCUGAGCAAGUUCUAUAGGGCUGGCUUUCUCCAUUUGUACUAGCCUUUGCUACACUAGCCUCCUACACCCACUAUGGGACUGACACACUCGUCUGGGGUAUGGUCACUGAGCUGUGGAGCCAGCAGAGGGAGCAGGAGUCAACAAAAAUGAAAGAACUUUGUCAGCACCUUGAACCAGCCUCUGUGAUUCGCCAUCUUCGGCACAGGCCUGUUCUAGAGCUCAGCAAGAUCUGUGGUGCACCAGUUUUUAAAGUGACUUAUGGCUCUGGAUAUGAUUUCUUAACGGUAUUUCUCUGACUAGGUGAGAUUGUAGUUUUUAUAAAAAAUUUUAAAUAUAAGAGAUUUUAUUGCAAAUGCAAGGGGGCUAAACAAAUAAGAGACCUCUGUGUGAUUUUACAAGCAAAUAAGAUUCUCAUUUAAAACUUAUGUAAAGUAACAUCUAAAACACUAUAAUUUAAUGAUUGUUAUCCUAAAGAAUUGUAAAAAAAAAUGUUAAAAGUAGACUCUUCAGAGUUUACUCUUC
Molecule: long non-coding RNA, 2723 nt
Filed under: Sus scrofa (pig)
Lineage: Eukaryota; Metazoa; Chordata; Mammalia; Artiodactyla; Suidae
Description: lncRNA (ENSSSCG00000044702.1)
Source: RNAcentral